AGAUGCGGGUCUUCUCUGACGGGAUCUCACAGCAUUGUGGAAAAUUGAUAUGGAUGGGAAAGUGAACGAAGCAGUUGAGAUAUGCUUUGGGUCUUUUCACCGUUAUGCACAAUAUAUGAAUUUCUCACACCCCUUGAUCAAGGAGAAGUUUGAACUUGAUGCGUGGAGGAAGGGAAAAUGCAUUGAAGCAGAAUCUUAAUGAAAAUUGAACACUAUGAAAAUUAGGUACACUUUCACUGGGAUUGAUCAUAAUCUACUCGACAACCACGUGACUAGAAAUAUAUCUCAAGGAUUUUUGUGAACUUGUCAAUCCUCUACCACCAUUUGACUAGAAAGGCUAAUAUGAUAGCUUGGACUUAUCAUCUGGAGGUUGCACUUGAAGGAAUGAUAGUUUGGCCU
Long non-coding RNA from Zingiber officinale, 399 nucleotides. RefSeq lists it as uncharacterized. The transcript has 3 exons. The record is from RefSeq and is a predicted model, not a curated record. NCBI's taxonomy places the organism in Eukaryota, Viridiplantae, Streptophyta, Magnoliopsida, Zingiberales, Zingiberaceae.